Molecule: long non-coding RNA, 2701 nt
Organism: Phyllostomus discolor (pale spear-nosed bat)
Lineage: Eukaryota; Metazoa; Chordata; Mammalia; Chiroptera; Phyllostomidae
Exons: 3
Source: RefSeq, a predicted model, not a curated record
GCUAAGGAGAGGGUCAUGAAGGAGGUAAGAACAUAGAUGGGCUGCUCUGUGUGCAUCUUUAUUUGGGGAUGUCAUUUAAAAAUCAGUCAUUGAGGUGUCUAAUUCUUUGAUCAAAAUCAAUCAGUCAAUCAAUCACCCCUCAACUUAACUUCCAGGUAGGGUCAUUAGCUUUAUGUUCAUAAUUUUUAUGCAAUGUCAAAAUAAUUAUUCUGGAAAAUAUGUAUGUCCCCGUCUCUAUUUUGACAACAAAGCCCAGGGGAGCAUGGCGAAAGAAAAGCCAUGUGUAGGAAGCAGAGGGCAGAGACAGGGCUGACAGACAGAAGGAAGGCUGCCCUCCACCCAGGUCUACUUCUCAUUUUCUGAAUCCACUUACACCUCAAGCUACAAGCACCUCUCUGUCUCAGCCUGACUUCUCCCUGUUCUCCUUGUCCUGCUAGAGACAAGAUCUCUCCCAUUUUCCUUAUAGCUCUCCUUGUUACGGCCUGAAUGUCCGUUCCCUCCAAAAUUUGUAUUUUGUAGCCCUACUCUCCCCUCCCCCCUGCCGCCGCAGUGUGAUGGUAUUUGGAGACGAGCCUUUGGGACUGAAUUAGGAUUAGAUGAGGUCACAAAGGAGGACCCCUUAUGAUGGGAUCCAUGCCCUUCUGAGAAGAGUCAACAAAAACCUAGUUCUCUCUCUCUGUCCUGUGAGGAAGAAGUGAUAGGGAAGAUAGAAGUCUGCAAUCCAGGAAGAGAACUCAUGCCAGAAUCCAGCCAUGCUGGUUUCUGAUCUUGAACUUCCAUUUCCAGACCUGUGAGAAAAUAAAUUUCUGUUGUUUAAGCCAUUCAGUCUUUGAUAUUUUAUUAUGGCAGCCCGAGCUAAGGCAUCUUUGUGCCCUUCUUCCCCACUUUGCUAUCUGUCUGACUUCAGUCAUAACCUUGGAGUCUUCUUGCUGUGUUUCAGAAGGUACCCUGAGUUAAUCUAUGCUCAUGUGGCAAGCAGAGCUUGAAGAAGGUGUUGUGCUUUUCACUUCCCAGAUGCCCACCAUUGUUCCACCAAAUGUUGAGGAAUAUAGAUAGUGCAGGGACCCACUUCCUGGGGGAUACAGCCCCUGCAUUUGCUUUAUCUACGAUGGUUGGAGCUGACCCUGAGUAGCUCUUCUUUUUUUCUAAUUAAGCACCAGAAGGCUCCCUAGCACAGUGCUGCCUUGCUGCACCCCAGGCUGGGACAGUUCUGUGGCCACAUUCCCCUCUUGCCCCCUGCCUUUUAGGCAUGAGCACCUUAGUCUCCAUUGUGCAUCCAAACCUGUCGGCGUUCCAAGCACCAGCGCCUGCCAGCUCCGGGCACUUUAUUUCCUCAGCAGCUGGCGCAGGAUUUCUCUGUUGCCAACUGGAAGCUGAGAUAUUAAAAAAUAAAACUUGGCCCAUCUUGAGUGUCAUAUGUUUCCAUCAGGAUUCGGAUCUGCAUUCUGGCUUAGCUCAUGCCAUCACUUGGGCGCCUCUCUCAGGACUAAGAACCCAGUCUGUUUCUGAGUCUCUGGCCAUGUUUUCACCUGCUUAUUUCAAAUGUAGUUUCCAGCCUUGAAAAACCUGUGAUGCUUAUGACUAGUUGAGGGCCACUGACACUUUACUUGGUCUUCCUGGAUGUGUAUAUUCACCUGUUCGGUGUUUCUUUAGCACUGGGUUGCCUUCUCUGAUAGUGGGUGUCAGUUUCAUAUCUUAAACGGCAGAUUCUCAAGAACCAGGCUCAUGCUUCUCAGGCUAAUGAGUAGCCAACACACAGCACUGAGGCGUGGUUGUCUGCUACGUGACUUCACAUAAGCAUGAGGUGGUCCAAGAAAACAGAUAUUAAUAUUUGUAAAUAUUUGUCUACUGUUUUUUGUAUUUCACAUCCUAAAAAGAAUGUGUGAUAUAACCUUAGGUUUUCCAUGUCUGCAGACAGAAGGACAGUUGGAGCAGUUAAAAUAACUGCUGUGGAUGGGGCUUUCUGUAUAAUUUACCACUCGCUUUGCUUAUAAAGAGGGUGUUAGAAUUAGAAAAUAUCAAUCAUUUGGUAGCUUUGAGAUCUUAUUUUAUUCAGGAUAAUACAUCCUUCACUGUAAAGUUAGAGCCAAAAUCACUGCAACUUGACUAUGAUUCAGAAAUACAGAAUAGAAUUCUGAAGAUCAUUUAAAGAUGAAAAAAAAAAACCCCUUCUUUUGGUAAGGAGUAUUUUAAAGCAGUCUGUAGUCUGUGUAUACUGAUAAAGAAAAAUGUGACCCAGAAGCAACUUCUUAUAUUUAAAUUAUGUCAUUAUUAUGCUCAUACCUAAAAAAUGUAUUUUUAACCUAAUUUUUCUAACUUAAAUAGUAAAAUAAAAUUUGGCUUCUGGUUUCACUAUAUAUUUCAUUAGUAGCUACUGAUAAUUGUCUUAGUCUCCUUUCUGAUAAAGGGAUUUUUUUGCAGCACUUAAAACAAUAAACUUUGAGGAAGGUGUUAAUGAGGUAGGCAUGUCCAGGAAAAAGGCGGAAAGUAUAGAGACUGGAAGACUUAGGACACGCCUUUUCUGAGUGUCAUUUGGGUAAGGGGUAUAAAUUCGGCGAUGGCUUUCUGUUGGGGAGGAGACAUGGUAAGUGAUGGGAUAUCACAUCUUUCAAGAUGUCUUCUGAGUCCAAGCUUCUGGAAAUGUGCUGGCCGCAGUCUGCUGCUGAGAUACAAAGCGAGGCUGCAGUCCACAGAGAAGGAA